RNAcentral lists this ribosomal RNA (253 nucleotides) under uncultured bacterium. Its description in RNAcentral is "partial 16S ribosomal RNA". It matches the Rfam family "Bacterial small subunit ribosomal RNA", at positions 524 to 776 of the family's 1533-position model. The record is from RNAcentral.
UACGUAGGUGGCAAGCGUUGUCCGGAUUUACUGGGUGUAAAGGGCGUGCAGCCGGAGAGACAAGUCAGAUGUGAAAUCCACGGGCUCAACUCGUGAACUGCAUUUGAAACUGUUUCCCUUGAGUGUCGGAGAGGUAAUCGGAAUUCCUUGUGUAGCGGUGAAAUGCGUAGAUAUAAGGAAGAACACCAGUGGCGAAGGCGGAUUACUGGACGAUAACUGACGGUGAGGCGCGAAAGCGCGGGGAGCAAACAGG